UACGGAGGGUGCGAGCGUUGUCCGGAAUCACUGGGCGUAAAGGGCGCGUAGGUGGCGCGAGGAGUCUGUGGUGAAAGCCCGAGGCUCAACUUCGGGUCGGCCGCGGAUACUCUCGUGCUGGAGGGUGGUAGAGGCCAAUGGAAUUCCGGGUGUAGCGGUGGAAUGCGUAGAGAUCCGGAAGAACACCGGUGGCGAAGGCGGUUGGCUGGGCCACACCUGACACUGAGGCGCGACAGCGUGGGGGAGCAAACAGG
RNAcentral lists this ribosomal RNA (254 nucleotides) under uncultured bacterium. RNAcentral describes it as "partial 16S ribosomal RNA". It matches the Rfam family "Bacterial small subunit ribosomal RNA", at positions 524 to 776 of the family's 1533-position model. The record is from RNAcentral.